This 1395-nucleotide unclassified non-coding RNA is filed under the name uncultured fungus. RNAcentral describes it as "sequence contains 18S rRNA gene, ITS1, 5.8S rRNA gene, ITS2, 28S rRNA gene". The stretch from base 475 to 1395 matches the Rfam family "Eukaryotic large subunit ribosomal RNA", at positions 1 to 961 of the family's 3401-position model. The record is from RNAcentral. Lineage: Eukaryota; Fungi.
GGAAGGAUCAUUACAGUGGGUGGCCUCACGGCCCCUACCGAGAUAGCACCCUUGUCUUUGAAUACCACCCGUUUCCUCGGCAGGCUCGCCUGCCAAUGGGGACACAACAAAACCUUUUUGUAGUUGCAGUAAACGUCUCAAAUACAAAUAAUCAAAACUUUCAACAACGGAUCUCUUGGUUCUGGCAUCGAUGAAGAACGCAGCGAAAUGCGAUAAGUAGUGUGAAUUGCAGAAUUCAGUGAAUCAUCGAAUCUUUGAACGCACAUUGCGCCCUUUGGUAUUCCUUAGGGCAUGCCUGUUCGAGCGUCAUCUAAACCCUCAAGCAAUGCUUGGUGUUGGGCGUUUGUCCUCCUCUCGGUGGACAUGCCCUAAAUAUAUUGGCAGCCUGUGAGUUGGCUUCGAGCGCAGCAAAUCGUGUCUCGUCUCUCUCGCGCAGGCGUUCCAUUAAGAUGGGGCCCAGUGCCCCCCUCAGUUUGACCUCGGAUCAGGUAGGGAUACCCGCUGAACUUAAGCAUAUCAAUAAGCGGAGGAAAAGAAACCAACAGGGAUUGCCCUAGUAACGGCGAGUGAAGCGGCAACAGCUCAAAUUUGAAAUCUGGCUCCCUUGGGUGCCCGAGUUGUAAUUUGCAGAGGGUGCUUUGGCGAUGGCUGUGGUCUAAGUUCCUUGGAACAGGGCGUCAUAGAGGGUGAGAACCCCGUACGAGACCGCUGGCUUGAGCCGUGUAAAGCCCCUUCGACGAGUCGAGUUGUUUGGGAAUGCAGCUCUAAAUGGGAGGUAAAUUCCUUCUAAAGCUAAAUACUGGCCAGAGACCGAUAGCGCACAAGUAGAGUGAUCGAAAGAUGAAAAGCACUUUGGAAAGAGAGUCAAAAAGCACGUGAAAUUGUUGAAAGGGAAGCGCUUGCAGCCAGACUUGCCCGCAGUUGGUUUCCUUCUGUGGGCAGGCCAGCAUCAGUCUGGGCGGUCGGAUAAAGGCCUCAGGAAUGUAUCACUCUUCGGGGUGUGUUAUAGCCUGGGGUGUCAUGCGACCAGCCUGGACUGAGGUCCGCGCAUCUGCUAGGAUGCUGGCGUAAUGGCUGUAAGCGGCCCGUCUUGAAACACGGACCAAGGAGUCUAACAUCUAUGCGAGUGUUUGGGUGGAAAACCCGGGCGCGCAAUGAAAGUGAACGGAGGUGGGAACCCGCAAGGGCGCACCAUCGACCGAUCCUGAUGUCUUCGGAUGGAUUUGAGUAAGAGCAUAUAUGUUGGGACCCGAAAGAUGGUGAACUAUGCCUGAAUAGGGUGAAGCCAGAGGAAACUCUGGUGGAGGCUCGCAGCGGUUCUGACGUGCAAAUCGAUCGUCAAAUUUGGGCAUAGGGGCGAAAGACUAAUCGAACUAUCUAGUAGCUGGUUCCUGC